Molecule: ribosomal RNA, 888 nt
Filed under: Triticum aestivum (bread wheat)
Lineage: Eukaryota; Viridiplantae; Streptophyta; Magnoliopsida; Poales; Poaceae
Description: partial small subunit ribosomal RNA
Source: RNAcentral
AUGCUUAAAAUUAUGGAGCACAUGGGGUUUGACGCCAAAUGGCUGGAUUGGAUCAAAUGCAUCUUCUCCUCCAGAAAAUCUUCAGUCCUCCUUAAUAGUGUUCCAGGUCGACAAUUCCUCUGCAAAUGUGGUGUUCAUCAAGGUGACCCCUUAUCACCACUCAUUUUCGUUCUGGCUGCUGACCUGCUUCGGGCUGCUAUUAAUGACGCGUUCCGACAAGGCCAAAUUCAGCUACCGUUCCGGAGACCAAACCAGAAUGAUUAUCCUGUGAUCCAAUAUGCCGACGACACGAUAAUUCUACUCCCAGCUUCCGCUGAACAAGCUACGACAAUCAAGGGCAUUCUUUCGGAUUAUGCUACUUCAAUUGGUUUGAAGAUAAAUUUCCACAAGUCCACUUUAAUCCCGAUCAACUGUGAACCUGAUUGCUACAACGACGUCGCCUCUAUCUUUGGUUGCAAGGUAGGAUCUAUGCCUUUCACUUACCUGGGAUUACCUCUUGGAAUAACCAAGCCUACGGUCCAAGAUCUGAUGCCUCUAGUCUGCUCGAUGGAAAGAAGAAUGACCAUCACUCUAGCACUAAUGUCAUAUGGUGCAAAGUUAUCGCCCCUCAACACAAUGAUCACAUCACUCACCAUAUUUUCUCUCUGCACCCUCAAAUUCCCACCGAAGAUUCUAGAGCUGCUUGAUAAACUCAGAAGAAAGUGCCUUUGGACAAAAAAAUGGAGCAAGGAGAUAAAUGCAACUCACUUGCGGCUUGGGACAUGGUUUGCCGACCAAAGCAAAGUGGUGGCCUCGGUAUCAUCAAUCUCCGUAUCCAAAGCGAGGCCCUUCUCCUCAAAUAUAUGCACAAAUUUUACAACCACCACGACCUGCCUUGGGUGGAGCUGA